AUUGAACGCUGGCGGCGUGCUUAACACAUGCAAGUCGAUCGGUAACAGGUGUAGCAAUACAUGCUGACGAGAGGCGGACGGGUGAGUAAUGCUUGGGAAUCUGCCUAUUAGUGGGGGACAACCCGGGGAAACUCGGGCUAAUACCGCAUACGCUCUACGGAGGAAAGCCGGGGACCGCAAGGCCUGGCGCUAAUAGAUGAGCCCAAGUCGGAUUAGCUAGUUGGUAGGGUAACGGCCUACCAAGGCGACAAUCCGUAGCUGGUCUGAGAGGACGACCAGCCACACCGGAACUGAGACACGGUCCGGACUCCUACGGGAGGCAGCAGUGGGGAAUAUUGGACAAGUGGGGGCAACCCUGAUCCAGCGACGCCGCGUGGGUGAAGAAGGCCUGCGGGUUGUAAAG
RNAcentral lists this ribosomal RNA (403 nucleotides) under uncultured bacterium. Its description in RNAcentral is "bacterial SSU rRNA". It matches the Rfam family "Bacterial small subunit ribosomal RNA", at positions 29 to 430 of the family's 1533-position model. The record is from RNAcentral.